RNAcentral lists this ribosomal RNA (938 nucleotides) under uncultured bacterium. RNAcentral describes it as "bacterial SSU rRNA". It matches the Rfam family "Bacterial small subunit ribosomal RNA", at positions 563 to 1499 of the family's 1533-position model. The record is from RNAcentral.
AAGCGUGCGCAGGCGGUUUCGUAAGACAGACGUGAAAUCCCCGGGCUCAACCUGGGAACUGCGUUUGUGACUGCGAGGCUAGAGUACGGCAGAGGGGGGUAGAAUUCCACGUGUAGCAGUGAAAUGCGUAGAGAUGUGGAGGAAUACCGAUGGCGAAGGCAGCCCCCUGGGUUAGUACUGACGCUCAUGCACGAAAGCGUGGGGAGCAAACAGGAUUAGAUACCCUGGUAGUCCACGCCCUAAACGAUGUCGACUAGGUGUUGGAAGGGUUAAACCUUUUAGUACCGCAGCUAACGCGUGAAGUUGACCGCCUGGGGAGUACGGCCGCAAGGUUAAAACUCAAAGGAAUUGACGGGGACCCGCACAAGCGGUGGAUGAUGUGGAUUAAUUCGAUGCAACGCGAAAAACCUUACCUACCCUUGACAUGCCAGGAACUUUCCAGAGAUGGAUUGGUGCCCGAAAGGGAGCCUGGACACAGGUGCUGCAUGGCUGUCGUCAGCUCGUGUCGUGAGAUGUUGGGUUAAGUCCCGCAACGAGCGCAACCCUUGUCAUUAAUUGCCAUCAUUCAGUUGGGCACUUUAAUGAGACUGCCGGUGACAAACCGGAGGAAGGUGGGGAUGACGUCAAGUCCUCAUGGCCCUUAUGGGUAGGGCUUCACACGUCAUACAAUGGUCGGUACAGAGGGUUGCCAAGCCGCGAGGUGGAGCCAAUCCCAGAAAGCCGAUCGUAGUCCGGAUCGCAGUCUGCAACUCGACUGCGUGAAGUCGGAAUCGCUAGUAAUCGCGGAUCAGCAUGUCGCGGUGAAUACGUUCCCGGGUCUUGUACACACCGCCCGUCACACCAUGGGAGUGGGUUCUACCAGAAGUAGUUAGCCUAACCGUAAGGAGGGCGAUUACCACGGUAGGAUUCAUGACUGGGGUGAAGUCGUAACAAGGUAU